This 256-nucleotide long non-coding RNA is filed under the name Mytilus galloprovincialis (Mediterranean mussel). The record is from RNAcentral. Lineage: Eukaryota; Metazoa; Mollusca; Bivalvia; Mytilida; Mytilidae.
GGUUAUUUUUUUAUUUCGAUAUUACCUCUAUUCCUCCUAUACUAUUAGUUCAACAGAAAAAAAGGACAUUAACAAAAAUGUAUGCUUUUUCCGGAGUCAGAUUGUGAGCUUAAAUGAACGGUGACCCCAUUUUUUUAUUUCAUUUUUCUUUUAAGUAUAUGAUAAAGUUCAUUUAUAAAAAAAUAUAGCGAAAUCCUAUAUUAGAAAAAAAAAUUGAUUUAUACCCAGGAGCCCCCUUAACUGAUUAUUUUGAUAA